This 437-nucleotide ribosomal RNA is filed under the name Legionella sp. RNAcentral describes it as "bacterial SSU rRNA". It matches the Rfam family "Bacterial small subunit ribosomal RNA", at positions 394 to 826 of the family's 1533-position model. The record is from RNAcentral. Lineage: Bacteria; Pseudomonadati; Pseudomonadota; Gammaproteobacteria; Legionellales; Legionellaceae.
AUGCCCGUGUGUGAAGAGGCCUGAGGGUUGUAAGCACUUUCAGUGGGGAGGAGGAUAGCAUGGUUAAGAGCUGAGCUAUUGGACGUUACCUACAGAAGAAGCACCGGCUAACUCCGUGCCAGCAGCCGCGGUAAUACGGAGGGUGCGAGCGUUAAUCGGAAUUACUGGGCGUAAAGGGUGCGUAGGUGGUUAAAUAAGUUAGAUGUAAAAACCCUGGGCUUAACCUAGGACUGAGAUUUAAUACUGUUUAACUAGAGUAUGGGAGAGGGUAGUGGAAUUUCCGGUGUAGCGGUGAAAUGCGUAGAGAUCGGAAGGAACACCAGUGGCGAAGGCGGCUACCUGGCCUAAUACUGACACUGAGGCACGAAAGCGUGGGGAGCAAACAGGAUUAGAUACCCUGGUAGUCCACGCUGUAAACGAUGUCAACUAGCCGUUGG